RNAcentral lists this ribosomal RNA (727 nucleotides) under fungal sp. RNAcentral describes it as "eukaryotic LSU rRNA". The stretch from base 513 to 727 matches the Rfam family "Eukaryotic large subunit ribosomal RNA", at positions 1 to 215 of the family's 3401-position model. Lineage: Eukaryota; Fungi. The record is from RNAcentral.
UGACCUGCGGAAGGAUCAUUACUGAGUGAGGGCCCUCUGGGUCCAACCUCCCACCCGUGUUUAUUGUACCUUGUUGCUUCGGUGCGCCCGCCUCACGGCCGCCGGGGGGCUUCUGCCCCCGGGUCCGCGCGCACCGGAGACACUAUUGAACUCUGUCUGAAGAUUGCAGUCUGAGCAUAAACUAAAUAAGUUAAAACUUUCAACAACGGAUCUCUUGGUUCCGGCAUCGAUGAAGAACGCAGCGAAAUGCGAUAACUAAUGUGAAUUGCAGAAUUCAGUGAAUCAUCGAGUCUUUGAACGCACAUUGCGCCCCCUGGUAUUCCGGGGGGCAUGCCUGUCCGAGCGUCAUUGCUGCCCUCAAGCACGGCUUGUGUGUUGGGCUCCGUCCCCCCGGGGACGGGUCCGAAAGGCAGCGGCGGCACCGAGUCCGGUCCUCGAGCGUAUGGGGCUUUGUCACCCGCUCUGUAGGCCCGGCCGGCGCCAGCCGACAACCAAUCAUCCUUUUUUCAGGUUGACCUCGGAUCAGGUAGGGAUACCCGCUGAACUUAAGCAUAUCAAUAAGCGGAGGAAAAGAAACCAACAGGGAUUACCUCAGUAACGGCGAGUGAAGCGGUAAGAGCUCAAAUUUGAAAGCUGGCUCCUUCGGGGUCCGCAUUGUAAUUUGCAGAGGAUGUUUCGGGAGCAGCCCCCAUCUAAGUGUCCUGGAACGGACCGUCAUAGAGGGUGA